Molecule: ribosomal RNA, 465 nt
Filed under: uncultured bacterium
Lineage: Bacteria
Description: partial 16S ribosomal RNA
Rfam family: Bacterial small subunit ribosomal RNA
Source: RNAcentral
GACGAACGCUGGCGGCGUGCUUAACGCAUGCAAGUCGAACGGAAAGGCCCCCUUGUGGGGUACUCGAGUGGCGAACGGGUGAGUAACACGUGAGUAACCUACCCUUGACUUUGGGAUAACUUCAGGAAACUGGGGCUAAUACCGGAUAGGAGCUCCUGCUGCAUGGUGGGGGUUGGAAAGUUUUGGCGGUUGGGGAUGGACUCGCGGCUUAUCAGCUUGUUGGUGGGGUAGUGGCUCACCAAGGCUUUGACGGGUAGCCGGCCUGAGAGGGUGACCGGCCACAUUGGGACUGAGAUACGGCCCAGACUCCUACGGGAGGGAGCAGUGGGGAAUAUUGCACAAUGGGCGGAAGCCUGAUGCAGCAACGCCGCGUGCGGGAUGACGGCCUUCGGGUUGUAAACCGCUUUCGCCUGUGACGAAGCGUGAGUGACGGUAAUGGGUAAAGAAGCACCGGCUAACUACGUG